Molecule: ribosomal RNA, 427 nt
Filed under: uncultured bacterium
Lineage: Bacteria
Description: bacterial SSU rRNA
Rfam family: Bacterial small subunit ribosomal RNA
Source: RNAcentral
AACGCGAAGAACCUUACCAGGGUUUGACAUCUCAGGAAUUUCUCCGAAAGGAGAGAGUGCCUUAGGGAACCUGAUGACAGGUGUUGCAUGGCCGUCGUCAGCUCGUGUCGUGAGAUGUUUGGUUAAGUCCAUUAACGAGCGCAACCCCUUUACUUAGUUGGAUUUCUCUAGGUAGACUGCCCCGGUAACGGGGAGGAAGGAGGGGAUGAUGUCAGGUCAGUAUUACCCUUACACCCUGGGCUAGAAACACGCUACAAUGGCCGGUACAAAGGGCAGCCAAGUCGCGAGACGGAGCAAAUCCCAUCAAAACCGGUCCCAGUUCGGAUUGUAGGCUGAAACUCGCCUGCAUGAAGCCGGAAUCGCUAGUAAUGGUAGGUCAGCACACUACCGUGAAUACGUUCCCGGGCCUUGUACACACCGACGCGUA